This 3692-nucleotide long non-coding RNA is filed under the name Homo sapiens (human). RNAcentral's name for it is "non-protein coding lnc-SNX10-2:17". The record is from RNAcentral. Lineage: Eukaryota; Metazoa; Chordata; Mammalia; Primates; Hominidae.
AUGUUGGACAGGGCGCGUCUGCGCCUCCGGCCGCCGCGGCUCCCGGGGCCUCCGCCUGCAGCCGGCGGCGGAACGAGGGCAGGCGGCUGAGACAGGCGAGCUAUUUGCAUUCCCCGGCAGUCAUUUUUAUAUGCGGAGGUAAUGAAGUUGUCAGCGGCGCCCCGAGUGUGGCAGAGCCUGAUAUUCAAAUCGCCCUGCCCGCUCCGCCUGCUCCCGCCCGCUGGUCCCGGGAGCCCCAGGCUGCGCGCGCCCGCACCGCAUCGCCGCUUUGCCCCGCGACCGCGCGCGCCUCCUCGUCCUCCCCCGCGCCUUUGUUUCCGUCUCCUUCUCCUUUCCCUCCUCUUUUGUGUCGGGCCAGACUCAGCCCCAGAAACCAGCCACCCUGCCGCGUCCGACUGCCAGGGAUCCCUCACGCCGCGAGGUGAGCUGGUCGCAGGUGUGGGGAAGUUCGCGGGUGCAGCUAGGCCGCCGCCCUCGCGCUCGACGCCACGCCCGCCUCCUCUUUCCUUCCCCAGGGGCCCCUUGCCCUCCCUUCACCUCCGUCUCCAAGAAAGAUGACCUAGUACUGCCAUUACCGUUUGGGCCUAGAGGAGUUUUCGUUCCUCUUUCCGAAUGCAUAUUUGUGGUCAUUUUUUAUGAUUGCAGAAACCCAACACACAGCUAUUCUGUCAGGCUGCCGAGAAAAGGCUGUUCGGCAGUUGCAGCCCUGGUGAGGCAAUGAGGAGGAAAGGUGGACGCACCUGCCUGGAGUGGUUGAAGGAAGGCAGUGAACAUCCACGCUCCUGGGGUUGGUUUUCCUGAACCUCUGUAGCUGUGCUGCUCACUGGGGCAGCCACUGACCACAAGAGGCUGCCGAGGGCUUGCAGUGUGGCCAGGCCAGACCAGGAUGUUCUCCAAGUGGGAAAUACACACCCCAUUGUAAAGAAGACUGUAUGGAAAAAAGAAUGUGAACUGGCUCAUUCAUCAUUUAAAAACAUUGAUUGCAUAUUGAAAUGAUAAUAUUUUGGGUAUAUGGGGUGAAAUAAAGUAUCAUGAAUUAAAUCUUUUUUUAAAAAUGUGGCCACAAAGAACAUUUAAAUUUACACAUGUGGUUCACAUUAUAUCUCUGUGGGAUCGCACUUAAGACCCAACCCCACCCAUCCUCUAACUCUGCCCUCUCAGCUUGCUCUACAGGUACUUUGGAACAGGGCAGGGAUGGAGGGAAGGUCCUUGUAUCUUAGGGAUCAAAUGCCCAGGAAAAUAAUUAGGAGGUGUUUGGGAUUAUGCUGAAAACCCUGACAACACUGAAUAGCAGAUGUCUCUUUCUUUUCCCUUUGUUCACUGUAAAGAAAAACUUACACUCCCCCACAGCCAUGCCACAAUUCCAUGGACCAACCAUUCAUGUGUGAAGGUGGGCCUCUAGGAGUGUUUUGUGCCUUUUAGGAGUUAUUUGUGGCACACUAAACUUGCUGACAUGCCAUUUAGAAAAGUGAAUACUGUGUACGCACUGUAACAACUAUUCCAUAAGUAUUUUUGGUGUACACUGUUCCUCAGCACUCACAGGCUUCGGAGUAGGGGCUCCCGGAGUAUGCAUUGACACGAUGCGCUGCAAAUGAUCCGGGCGUGGGGAAGUCCCCGAGUGUGCAUUGAUUCCACACACGGCCACGGCUCCUACAGGGCUUUUAUGGUGCAGCUCGCCAAUGAUCCGUGUGUUAAAGACUCCCCAAAUACACAUUGACACGAUAGACUGGAGUUGUUUGGGUCUAUCGUGGCAAUGAUCCGGGGAUAAUGGCAGUGUCUUAUACAAUUUCACUGAGAUUGGAGUGCUCAUGGUCCUAAUGGCAGAACCGGAACUGCCCCAGUUAAGUCCCACCAUGGCGCCCAGUAAAGGGUGUGUGGGUCUUUGACCUUCUGCUUCAUGACACUGUGGCAUUGCUAAUUUUACUGAUAUUUUAACUAACAUAAUUGAGUUAGCAUUUUUUUCCCCCUGAAAAUUCAUUUUUGUAAUUCAACACCUGAAUUAGGGAGUCCAUCUAGUGAUGGUUUCAUUUGGUUAAUCAUAAGCUAAAGACCUAGGAAAGGUCAUUCUUAAACCUAAAGUGUUUUGGGAAAAAUAAUCGUGGGAGAUGCAUAUGAGCUUGAGACAGAGUUAAUAUGGAAUAAAUAACCUCAGUCCUGAGAAAACCUAGUUGGCUAGGCUGAAAUAGACAAGAUGAGAAGGUGGGAAGAAGAUGUUUUUAAAAAUAAUGAAAGUAACAUAUUCAAUAAAAAUAAUUCAAACACUGUAGAAGUGUAUGAAAUAAAAAACAGAAUCCUCCCACUCCUUCCUUCCUUCUUUCUAUACCAUUCACUGUUACAAGCACUAUUAAUAUUUUUGUAUAUUCUUCCAGUAACUUAAAAACACAUGCAAAUAUAUACAGUCAUGCAUCUCUUAAUGAUGGGAAUAUGUUCUGAGAAAUGCAUCGUUAGGCGAUUUCAUCAUUGCACGAAUAUCAGAGAAUGUACUUAUACAAACCUAGAUGGUGUAGCCUACUACCCACCUAGGCUAUAUGGUAUAGCCUAUUGCUCCUAGGCUACAAACCUGUACAGCAUGGUACUGUAACAGAAUACUGAAGGCAAUUGGCCAGGCACUGUGGCUCACGCCUGUAAAUCCCUGCACUUUGGGAGGCCAAGGCUGGCCUUCAAGACCAGCCUGGCUAACAUGGUGAAACCCUGUUUUUACUAAAAACCCCAAAAUUAGCUGGGCUUGAUGGCAUACACGUGUAGUUCCAGCUACUCAGGAGGCUGAAGCAGGAGAAUCACUUGAAUCUGGGAGGUAAAGUUUGCAGUGAGCAGAGAUCAUGCCACUGCACUCCAGCCUGGGCAACACAGCAAGACUCCAUCUCAAAAAAAAAAAAACAACACUGUAGGCAACUGUAACACAAUGGUGAGUACUUAUGUAUCUAAAUGUAGAAAAGGUACAGCAAAAAUACAGUAUAAAUGGUAAAAAAAGAAAAAAUACAACUGUAUAGGGCACUUACCAUGAAUGGAGUUUGCAGGUCUAGAAGUUGCUCGGGUGAGUGGAGUGAGUGGCGAGUAAAUGUGAGGGUCUAGGACAUUGUGUAUACUAGUGUAGGCUUUAUAAACACCGUACACUUAGGCUACACUAAAUUUAUAUUUAAAAAGGUAAUUGCUCUACAACAUUGUGAUGGCUAUAUUGCCACUAGGCUAUAGGAAUUUUUCAGCUCCAUAUUAAUCUUAUGGGUCCACUGUUGUAUAUUUGGUCCAUUGUUGACCGAAAUGUCAUUAUGUGGUGCAUGACUGUAUAUCUACUCUUUGUUUACACAAAUGGGUUAAUGCUGAAUGUUAAUCUUCAACAUCUUAUAUUUUCAAUUAAUAAUACAGUCAUGUGCCCCAUAAUGAUGUUUUGAUCAGCAAUGGACUGCAUAUACGAUAGUGGCCCUGUAAGAUUACCGUGGAGCUGAAAAAUUCCUAUCGCCUGGUGAUGUCUUAGCCCUUGUAACAUCUUAAUGCAACACAUUAGUUGUGUGCUUGUGGUGGUGUCAGUGUAAACAAACCUACUGCGUUGCCAGUUAUUUAAAAGUAUACCACAUACCACAGUAUGCCACAUUAUCAAGUACAUAAUCCUAGAUAAUAACAAUAAACAACUGUUACUAGUUUAUGCAUUUACUAUACUAUUUAUUAUUAUUUUAGACUACUUUCUACACAUGCAU